GAUGAACGCUGGCGGCGUGCUUAACACAUGCAAGUCGAGCGAAGCACUUGGUUUGAAGUUUUCGGAUGGAAAAUCAAAUGACUGAGCGGCGGACGGGUGAGUAACGCGUGGGGAACCUGCCUCAUACAGGGGAAUAACAGUUAGAAAUGACUGCUAAUGCCGCAUAAGCGCACAGUGUCGCAUGACACGGUGUGAAAAACUCCGGUGGUAUGAGAUGGCCCCGCGUCUGAUUAGGCAGUUGGCGGGGUAACGGCCCACCAAACCGACGAUCAGUAGCCGACCUGAGAGGGUGACCGGCCACAUUGGGACUGAGACACGGCCCAA
RNAcentral lists this ribosomal RNA (324 nucleotides) under uncultured bacterium. Its description in RNAcentral is "bacterial SSU rRNA". It matches the Rfam family "Bacterial small subunit ribosomal RNA", at positions 28 to 334 of the family's 1533-position model. The record is from RNAcentral.